CGGGCGGGAAUCAAAUGUUGUCCGUGCAUUUACUCAUGAACCGUUCAACCAAAGCUUUUAAAAUUUUAAUAUGUUGUUACUGACAACUAAAUAAAGGUCAAGUUCAAUAAUGGCGAUUUUUACUCUUACUGUUCAGGAGUUAUGGUUCUUGAAAGAUUGAAAAAUGGAGUUUCCAGUCGUGUCCGUGCAUUAACGCAUGAACUGUUCUACCAAAGCUUCCCAAAUUUUAAUAUGUUGUUACUGAUGACAAAAUGGAGGUCAAAUUCAAUAAUGACGAUUUUGACUUUUACCGUUCAGGAGUUAUGGUUCUUGAAAGAUUGAAAAAUGGUGUUUCCAGUUGUGUCCGUGCAUUUUCUCAUGAACUGUUCUACCAAAGCUUCCCAAAUUUUGAUAUGUUGUUACUGAUGACAAAAUAGAGGUCAAGUUCAAUAAUGAUGAUUUUGACUUUUACCGUUCAGGAGUUAUGGUUCUUGAAAGAUUGAAAAAUGGUGUUUCCAGUUGUGUCCGUGCAUUUUCUCAUGAACCAUUCAACCAAAGCUUUUGAAAUUUUUAUAUGUUGUUAUUGAUGACAAAAUAGAGGUCAAGUUCAAUAAUGACGAUUUUGACUUUUACCGUUCAGGAGUUAUGGUUCUUGAAAGAUUGUAAAAUGGCGUUUCUAUUUACAUUGUUGCAUUUUCUCAUGAACCAUUCAAUCUAAGCUUUUCUAAUUUUAAUAUGUUGAUACUGAUGACAAAAUGGAGGUCAAAUUUGAUAUUGACGAUUUUCACUUUCACCAUUCAUCAGUAAUGGUUCUUGCGAUAUUGCCAGGACACAAAUAAAUAUUAAUAAAUCCGGUUUGCUGUCGUUGUGACAGCCUCUUGUU
RNAcentral lists this long non-coding RNA (862 nucleotides) under Mytilus galloprovincialis (Mediterranean mussel). Lineage: Eukaryota; Metazoa; Mollusca; Bivalvia; Mytilida; Mytilidae. The record is from RNAcentral.